Molecule: long non-coding RNA, 926 nt
Filed under: Olea europaea subsp. europaea
Lineage: Eukaryota; Viridiplantae; Streptophyta; Magnoliopsida; Lamiales; Oleaceae
Source: RNAcentral
UAGAAACCCCUCUAUAUCUUCAAAAUUCAGCCCAUUACAAAAUUCUGCAAACCUUACUCUCCAGUCUCCACAGACCACAAAACUCACGCUCACGCAUGGGCACGGCUCCAUAGACCACACUCCACGCCUCGUAGCCUCCGGAACGUACGUAGCCGGCCGACUUCUAAGGUAACUGAAUCUUUUUUCCUUGUUUCAUUAUGGUUUUUAGUUUCUGUUCUAGACUUCUUGGAUUGUUCAAAAUUUGAAUUUUAAAGUUGUUUUAUUUCCUAUUGCACUUCUACUUGAUUUCGGGUUUUAGUUCCUGUUCUAGGAUUAUUCAAAAAAAAUGUUGUUUUUGUGGAGCUAGGCAGUUUAAAAAAUUAAGGUAAAGCUUUCUGUUGUUGUAAUGAAUUUGUGCAGUUAAAAAAUGGUGAGAUUCCUCAAGAAUUGUCUCGUCAAUUUUUUAUUUCUUGACACAUUAAUUUGUUUUUUGCAGGUUUGAGUCAGAAUUUGUCAUCUUUGGAGGAUAGUCCUUGAAAGGAAUAGUUUGCUGUUUGCUUGAAUUUUGAGUUUAUUCCUUUAAGAUUUACAAUACAUGCUUUCAGUUUCUUUGGCAUCUUGUUUAGCUUUUUGAGUUUGCCAUUUUAUAUUUAGCCCUUGUUUAAUGCCUAUUACCUGAAAAUGAAAAUGGGGGGAAUAAUAUUUUUUAAAAAAAUGAGUGGUUGAAAAGGAAGAAAAGGUUUUCGAUUUAUGUGUAAUAUUAUUUUAUGAAAGAUUGUGUGGUUGAAAAUAGGAGAGAGAAAAAUAAAAUGUAAUGUAAUUUAAUUUAAUGAGGAUGAAACAGGACUUUCUGUUUGAGACUUUUGUGUGUGUCAAUUUCUGACAAAACUGUUUACCUAGAUCAAUAAGUAGAUGUAGAACCUGCAAUUACGGUAGUUUCUAGUCGU